GAUGAACGCUGGCGGCGUGCCUAAUACAUGCAAGUCGAGCGAACAGACGAGGAGCUUGCUCCUCUGACGUUAGCGGCGGACGGGUGAGUAACACGUGGAUAACCUACCUAUAAGACUGGGAUAACUUCGGGAAACCGGAGCUAAUACCGGAUAAUAUAUUGAACCGCAUGGUUCAAUAGUGAAAGACGGUUUUGCUGUCACUUAUAGAUGGAUCCGCGCCGCAUUAGCUAGUUGGUAAGGUAACGGCUUACCAAGGCGACGAUGCGUAGCCGACCUGAGAGGGUGAUAGCCCACACUGGAACUGAGACACGGUCCAGACUCCUACGGGAGGCAGCAGUAGGGAAUCUUCCGCAAUGGGCGAAAGCCUGACGGAGCAACGCCGCGUGAGUGAUGAAGGUCUUCGGAUCGUAAAACUCUGUUAUUAGGGAAGAACAAAUGUGUAAGUAACUAUGCACGUCUUGACGGUACCUAAUCAGAAAGCCACGGCUAACUACGUG
This 497-nucleotide ribosomal RNA is filed under the name uncultured bacterium. RNAcentral describes it as "partial 16S ribosomal RNA". It matches the Rfam family "Bacterial small subunit ribosomal RNA", at positions 28 to 507 of the family's 1533-position model. The record is from RNAcentral.